Molecule: ribosomal RNA, 1138 nt
Filed under: Stauratostoma shelleyi
Lineage: Eukaryota; Metazoa; Nematoda; Chromadorea; Rhabditida; Thelastomatidae
Description: eukaryotic LSU rRNA
Rfam family: Eukaryotic large subunit ribosomal RNA
Source: RNAcentral
GUAGACUUGUACGGCGAGUGACAGGGAAAGCCCAGCGCUGAAUCCUGUGGCCACUGGUCAUUGGGAGCUGUAGCGUAUAGGUGCAGCUGUUCGAUAGCUUUGCUCACCCAAAGUCCCCUUGAGUGGGGCCACUGUCCAUAGAAGGUGCUAGACCUGUACGGGUGGUGAAGCUACCGAUUUGGUUGCUCCUUGGAGUCGAGUUGCCUGGGAUCGCAGCUCAAAGUAGGUGGUAAACCUCAUCUAAGGCUAAAUACGACCACGAGACCGAUAGCAAACAAGUACCGUGAGGGAAAGUUGCAAAGAACUUUGAAGAGAGAGUUCAAGAGGGCGUGAAACCGCUGAGAAGGAAACGGAUAGAGUUGACGAAACUCGGCGGCAUUYACCCGAUCAUCUUGCUGUGCCCCCGUUCUUGACUAYUUUCUUCGGGAAGUGGCAAUUUCGGUGGUUGCGCGGYGUGGUGGUUGGUGUAUUUGCCGUCGGUAUGCGCUGAGAAAUUCGCUGUGGUUUGCUGAUGCCAUCCUAAAGAGGACCAUGCUCGCAUGAGUGUGGAAACCUUUAGUGGUUGAGGCAUGUCCAUGGUGAAUCUGCAUCGCAAGGCAGCGCCCGCUAUGGCGCAACGRCUAUUACGUGGUUGAUGUAACUAUUGGGCGGUCGCAUGCGACUUGCCUAUAGUUGACGUUGGCUCGUUGAUGGUGCGGUUGCGUUGGYGUAAACAUCUCGGUGUGAAAGUCGACCACCUAUCCGACCCGUCUUGAAACACGGACCAAGGAGUUUAGCAUAUGCGCAAGUCAUUGGGUGGUAAACCUAAAGGCGUAAUGAAAGUAAAGAUCGCUUUUUGCGGUUGAUAUGGGAUCCGUGUAGUUUCGRCUAYGCGGCGCACCAUAGCCCCGUCCCGAUUGCAUGCAAUAGGGCGGAGGUAGAGCGCAUACGCUGAGACCCGAAAGAUGGUGAACUAUGCCUGAGCAGGAUGAAGCCAGAGGAAACUCUGGUGGAAGUCCGAAGCGGUUCUGACGUGCAAAUCGAUYGUCUGACUUGGGUAUAGGGGCGAAAGACUAAUCGAACCAUCUAGUAGCUGGUUCCCUCUGAAGUUCCCCCAGGAUAGCUGGAACUCAAUGAACAGUUAUAUUCGGUAAAGCGA